GACGAACGCUGGCGGCGCGCUUAACACAUGCAAGUCGAGCGAGAACCAGGGCUUCGGCCCUGGGGACAGCGGCGAACGGGUGAGUAACACGUGGGUAAUCUGCCCUCGGCACCGGGAUAGCCCGGGGAAACCCGGAUUAAUACCGGAUGGCCCAUCCGCUUUUCGGAGCGGCUGGAAAAGGUAGCUUAGGCCUCCGGCCGAGGAGGAGCCCGCGGCGGAUUAGCUUGUUGGUGGGGUAAUGGCCCACCAAGGCGACGAUCCGUAGCUGGUCUGAGAGGACGAUCAGCCACACUGGGACUGAGACACGGCCCAGACACCUACGGGUGGCAGCAGUUUCGAAUCAUUCACAAUGGGCGAAAGCCUGAUGGUGCGACGCCGCGUGAGGGAUGAAGGCCUGG
Molecule: ribosomal RNA, 398 nt
Filed under: uncultured bacterium
Lineage: Bacteria
Description: bacterial SSU rRNA
Rfam family: Bacterial small subunit ribosomal RNA
Source: RNAcentral